UACGUAGGGGCCGAGCGUUGUCCGGAGUUACUGGGCGUAAAGGGCGCGUAGGCGGCCUUCUAAGUCAGACGUGAAAUCCCCCGGCUUAACCUGGGAACUGCGUCUGAUACUGGGAGGCUCGAGUAUGGGAGAGGGAUGUAGAAUUCCAGGUGUAGCGGUGAAAUGCGUAGAUAUCUGGAGGAAUACCGGUGGCGAAGGCGGCAUCCUGGACCAUUACUGACGCUGAGGCGCGAAAGCUAGGGGAGCAAACGGG
This 253-nucleotide ribosomal RNA is filed under the name uncultured bacterium. RNAcentral's name for it is "partial 16S ribosomal RNA". It matches the Rfam family "Bacterial small subunit ribosomal RNA", at positions 524 to 776 of the family's 1533-position model. The record is from RNAcentral.